RNAcentral lists this ribosomal RNA (433 nucleotides) under uncultured bacterium. RNAcentral describes it as "partial 16S ribosomal RNA". It matches the Rfam family "Bacterial small subunit ribosomal RNA", at positions 29 to 507 of the family's 1533-position model. The record is from RNAcentral.
AACGAACGCUGGCGGCAUGCCUAACACAUGCAAGUCGAACGAGACCUUCGGGUCUAGUGGCGCACGGGUGCGUAACGCGUGGGAACCUGCCCUUAGGUUCGGAAUAACUCCCCGAAAGGGGUGCUAAUACCGGAUAAUGUCUUCGGACCAAAGAUUUAUCGACUUUGGAUGGGCCCGCGUUGGAUUAGCUAGUUGGUAGGGUAAAAGCCUACCAAGGCGACGAUCCAUAGCUGGUCUGAGAGGAUGAUCAGCCACACUGGGACUGGGACACGGCCCAGACUCCUACGGGAGGCAGCAGUGGGGAAUAUUGGACAAUGGGCGGAAGGCUGAUCCAGCAAUGCCGCGUGAGUGCUGAAGGCCUUAGGGUUGUAAAGCUCUUUUACCCGGGAUGAUCAUGACAGUACCGGGAGAAUAAGCUCCGGCUAACUCCGUG